GACGAACGCUGGCGGCGUGCUUAACACAUGCAAGUCGAACGGAAAGGCCCUGCUUUUGUGGGGUGCUCGAGUGGCGAACGUGUGAGUAACACGUGAGUAACCUGCCCUUGACUUUGGUAUAACUUCAGUAAACUGGGGCUAAUACCGGAUAGGAGCUCCUGCUGCAUGGUUGGGGUUGGAAAGUUUCGGCGGUUGGGGAUGGACUCGCGGCUUAUCAGCUUGUUGGUGGGGUAGUGGCUUACCAAGGCUUUGACGGGUAGCCGGCCUGAGAGGGUGACCGGCCACAGUGUGACUGAGAUACGGCCCAGAAUCCUAAGGGAAGCAGAAGUGGGGAAUAUUGCAAAAUGGGCGGAAGACUGAUGCAGCAACGCCGCGUGCGGGAUAACGGCCUUAGGGUUGUAAACCGCUUACGCCUGUGACGAAGCGUGAGUGACGGUAAUGGGUAAAGAAGCACCGGCUAACUACGUG
This 468-nucleotide ribosomal RNA is filed under the name uncultured bacterium. RNAcentral's name for it is "partial 16S ribosomal RNA". It matches the Rfam family "Bacterial small subunit ribosomal RNA", at positions 28 to 507 of the family's 1533-position model. The record is from RNAcentral.